RNAcentral lists this transfer RNA (73 nucleotides) under Mannophryne trinitatis (Trinidad poison frog). RNAcentral describes it as "tRNA-Leu". It matches the Rfam family "tRNA". From Rfam's summary of the family: Transfer RNA (tRNA) molecules are approximately 80 nucleotides in length. Their secondary structure includes four short double-helical elements and three loops (D, anti-codon, and T loops). The record is from RNAcentral. Lineage: Eukaryota; Metazoa; Chordata; Amphibia; Anura; Aromobatidae.
GCUAAUGUAGCAAAACCUGGUUUUGCGAAAGACCUAAACUCUUUCCAUAGAAGUUCAAAUCUUCUCGUUAGCU